Molecule: long non-coding RNA, 3538 nt
Organism: Oncorhynchus masou masou (cherry salmon)
Lineage: Eukaryota; Metazoa; Chordata; Actinopteri; Salmoniformes; Salmonidae
Exons: 2
Source: RefSeq, a predicted model, not a curated record
CAGACGUAAAGUGAAACGUCUGCAAGUAUUUUACGACACUUCGUUCUCAGUCAGUAGUUUAGCCUGCUGCGUUUUUCUUGUUCAUUUUAAACUGCAUCACGUUCUGAGAGGAAUACCAGCAGUGAAUAGACGUGCGGCAGUGAAUAGACGUGCGGCUGCACAACAACGGUCGUGUGAGAAUGUUUUAUUUUUAUUUUCACUUAGAAUCAAAUCUAACCUAAAGCUUCCAUUUGCAACCUGCAAAAUCAGUAAAAAAUAUUGUGUAUAGAAUAGAACAGCAGACUUGGUUGUAAGACUUGGUUGGUUUGCAGCCUCUGGUUUUACCCGCAACACUUCUGUUGGGAUACAAAACACAUCAUUGAAAAUGGCGGAACUUGAGGACGCAGGACUACCCCCAAAAAUGCAGGAGACCCGAGAUGAAGAGGAGCCGGGCAAUUCAAAGGCAGAGGAGAUGGACACCUCAGAAGACCUGCAAGAUGACAACCUGAUCAAGCGGGAACACUUCCACAGUUUUAAUAAUAAGCAGCAGGAUGGACAUUUGGCAGUUAGGAGGAAUGUUAUAUUAGAACGAACAAAAUUCAACCAAAGACAACAAGAAGCAGGAGAGACGGCUGAUGAUUUUAUCUCUGCACUUCAUUGUUUGUCAGAACAUUGUGGUUAUGGAGCUCUGCUCAGUGAGAUGAUAAGAGACAGACUAGUCAUGGGCUUACGUGACAGAACACUGUCCGAGCAAUUACAAAUGGACCCAGAAAUAACACUGGAUAAAGCUGUCACACGCAUUCGUCAAACUGAAUUUGUGAAAAAGCAACAGGACCUGCCAGAGAAUAACUUCAAAGCUGCCAGCAGUGCAGCAAAUGUAGAGAGUGAGCUUUCACAUAGCACACCGCAAUGCCCAGCCAACACCCAGUGCCAAUCCGAGAAAAAUAAUAAAAACUCAGACGGACUACAACAACCCCAAACAACACUGGAGAAUGGAGAGGAGCCCAAACAUACAGGUGGCACUGAUGAUUGGAUUGAGGGUUUCCGUCCUGGAGGAGAGAAGCCUCACUACUGCUUUGAUUGCGGUAAGAGCUUUAGAAAAGUGAGGGAUCUUAUAAGACACCAGCGAACACAUACUGGAGAGAAGCCUCACCACUGCCCCGAUUGUGAACAAAGUUUUGCUCGAUUAGAUCGUCUUAAGUCACACCAACUAACACAUACAGGAAUGAAGGCUCACCAAUGCCCUGAUUGUGACAAAAGUUAUUCUCAAUCGUAUCAUUUGAAAAGACAUCACCUGCGAAAGCAUAUGAAAGAGAAGUACUUCCACUGCAAUCUUUGUGAGGAACUUUUCUCCAAACCGAAAGAUCUAAAAACACACAUGCAUGUACAUGCUGGAGAAAAGGCAUACCUUCAGCAAGAAACUCAUACAGGUAAGAAUCCUUACCACUGCUCUGAAAUGAAUCAGUGCUCUGACUGUGGGAAGAGCUUUCGACAAGUGGGGGAUCUUAAAAGACACCAACGAACACAUACUGGAGAGAAGCCUUACCACUGCCCUGAUUGUGACAGAGGUUUCGGUCGAUUAGAUCGCCUUAAGUCACACCAGCUAACACAUACAGGAGUGAAAGCUCACCAAUGCCCUGAUUGUGACAAAAGUUAUUCUCAAUCGUAUCAUUUGAAAAGACACCACCAGCGAAAGCAUAUGAAAGGGAAAUACUUCCGCUGCAAUCAUUGUGAGGAACUUUUCUCCAAACCAGAAGAUCUAAAAACACACAUGCAUGUACAUACUGGGGAAAAUGCAUACCUUCCACAAGACACUCCUACAGGAAAGAAACCUUACCACUGUUCAAGGUGUGAUAAAAGAUUUCCUGACAUGGCAAAACUACGAUCACACCUUCCAGUACAUACUGGAGACCUGGCACUCCACUGUUCUGACUGUGGAAAGUGUUUCUUAAACAAGGCAAAGUUUGAAAGACAUCAAAGAACACACACUGAAAGUGUACUAUACCUUUGCACUGACUGUGGGGAGGGUUUUACAAAUAUGCAACGGUUGGAAAGGCACCAGCGAAUGCACACUGGAGAGAAACCAUACCACUGCACUGAUUGUGGGAAGAGUUUUGCACUUGAAAAAACAUUUAAGUGUCACAAGCAAGCACACAAGUUCAAACUCUCUGGAGAAAGAGCAGCCUAUCCUUGCUCGGAAUGUGGAAAUACUUUUUCUCGUUCAUGUGACGUGAUGACUCAUGUGAGAAGGGUGCAUAAUAAAGAGAGACCUUUCCAGUGCUCCUGCUGUGGAAAAAGAUUUUUUCAAAAGAACUCACUCACAAUACACAUGAGAAUUCACACUGGAGAGAAACCAUACCACUGCUCGGAAUGUGGACAAAGCUUCUCCCAAAUUAACGACAGAAAACGGCACCAGAGGAGGCAACACACUGGAGAGGAGACGACGACCUCUAUUCUGCAGUCUGAAAGGCAAAGUCACAGAGACUCUCAAUAAGAAAGGACUAACAACAGAGACACAAAAAUGCAAUAUAGUAACAAUAUCACUGUCUUAAUGCAUCUUUUUUUUCUAAUGGUAAACUUUAUUUUAUAAACCACAUUUCAAAAAUAUCUUAUCACUCUUUUAGUUUCCACCCUGCAUAAAUGAAUUCAUCAAUUCUUGCCUGCACCUAAAUCAUUCCGUAAGGCCAAACGACCAAAUGGGUAAUUAUUUGCCCAGUUAACUACCCAAAAUACUAUUUCAAAGAUUACAGCAACUGCAGUAAACAUGGGCUAUUAGAACCAAGGUGUGAAUAUCAGUGAUGUGAUCAUCAGAGUAUAAAUCAUGUAUGGCUAUUUGGGAAAUCCAAUUAAAAAUAACAAUUUCUCAGUAUUCAAAUUGGUGAAGAGUUAUUAGAUGUCCAUGUUAUUUAGGUUGGCAUGUACUCUCCUCACCUCUGAAAGAGCGGUCAGAAGAUAGUUGUAGCUACUGACAGUUUAUUUUUUUUAACAUUUGAAACGUCUUGAAUUCUAGAAGCCCUUUUCCACAUUUCUUGCAUGAAUAUGGUCUGACUCCUGUGUGCACUUGCAUGUUGGCUGCGACAUGAAUGACUUGGCUGAAUCUUCUCCCGCAGACGUCACAGCUGAAAGGCUUCUCUCAUGGACUUGCCUUUUGAGAUAACUGAUUAGUAGAACGUCUCUCACAAUCACUGCACUUGUGUGGUUUUCUCACCUGUAUUGAUCAGCACAUGUAUUUUAAGAGAGAGUUUUGUAAUAUAGCUCUUUCCACAACAGCCUUAAGCUUUGGUCUUCGCCAGUGUGAAAUUUCUGGUUAUAUUCAAAAGUAGCUUUAUGGAGAAGUUUUUACGCAUGCGAAACAAAUGUAUAUGUUUUCUCCUGUGAAGUUUCCCAUCUAUUUACAGAGAACUGAUGGAGCUGUAGCCCUUCAAACAUAUCUCACUGCUGAGAGGGGUUUGGUUGGUCAGUUUUGGUUGUCUUGCUCCUUGAGUGUUUUAACCAUUACCCGUGUGUGAUAGCUUGGCUAUUCUCAGUUGAUUAUUGUAAUAAAUUCUUUACACAUACA